AUGGAGUUGUGGGUUGAGUCUUCAAAAUAUCAACUUCCAGAGCUGGAGUGCACCUUAGAUGCUAUUUAAUCCAGUCAAUGACUGAAGAGAAAUUCUAGCAGCAACAUCUUGGACAUUAUCUCCUGAAAUAAUCCAUUCUACUUUUACAUAGCUCUAAUGGUUAGGAAGAUUUCCUUUGGAUGAACCUAAAUUUGCCUCUAUAAUUUAUUCCCAUUUGUGGAAAGGAAAACCGAAUCAAGCUCUGGACUUUCUGCCACUGAGGUGCAACAAACAGCAGUUGGAAGCUCUUCUCUCAGACUCAUCUACCUUUGCCCAGGUGAACAUUUAGAACUUUGCAGCCUGGAUUGCUGGAUCCCUACUAGAAAGGGCAACUUGGUGGCACAGUGUAUAGAAUGCUGGACUUGA
RNAcentral lists this long non-coding RNA (405 nucleotides) under Monodelphis domestica (gray short-tailed opossum). Its description in RNAcentral is "lncRNA (ENSMODG00000045094.1)". The record is from RNAcentral. Lineage: Eukaryota; Metazoa; Chordata; Mammalia; Didelphimorphia; Didelphidae.